AUCAAAGAUAGGACUACCAUCCAAUUGUUUGUUUAUUUAUUUAAUUACUCAAAACACACAUUUUACCCAUACUGGUUUUUCACUUCGGGUAUUUUCUGUUACAGUCAUUACUCAUUUAAGGGUCUCAGCAGGCGAAAAUCAUGAGUAACUGCACAGGCUCUCUAUGCUACUGUGGAAUAGAGAUGGGAAAAUGGCUCUCAGGUAGUGUGUGUGUAUGGACUCUAUUGGUAAAUACUAGAAUAGCCUGUGUGUGUGUGUGUGUGUGUGUGUGUGUGUGUGUGUGUGUGUGUGCGUGCGUGCAUGCACGUGUCUGCGUGUGCGCGGGUGUCUGCUCUCAUAAGUCUUGUGGUAUAUCAUUAGAGUCACAGUACCCUGAGUGAAUGGUUCUAGAUAGGUAGAUGGGAACAUUGUGGUGUUUGCAAAGAAUUCUGUGCUAAAGGGAACCAGUACAUGAACAUUUAAAAUCAACAUCUAGUCACAAUACAGAUACGAUGUGACUAGAAGUACUUCUGAGCCUGGAGAAACUCAAUUUCUGAGAAAUUGGUGGCUAACCCUAGGGCCAAUCUAUCAACUAAUCAAUAAACCAAUCAAUGAAUUAAAGGGUACUAUGUGUUUGUUACAGGGCUUGAUAUGUGAGAGCAACACACUGGAGACUCCACACUGUAAGCGUGUAAGCCCAGCACCUUAUUACUUUCACAUAUCCAGUCCAGUCCAAUUCAAUGUGUCAGUGCGUGUGCCUGUGUGUCGUACAUGAGCAUGUGUGUGUGUGUGUGUGUGUGUGUAGGUGUGUAUAUGUCUUGUGUGUAUUUGGGCAUUUGAAAAAAACAUAUUCGAUUAAACGUCCAGUUAACCAGUCAGAUUAUCCUUGGGGAGAGUCCCUGGCACCUUGACCUCUGCAGCAGAGGUCAAUCCUAAAGGUUGAAGGCAGAAGGGGAGGGGCCACACACAAUGGCUGUUUCACCCUGAGAGCCAUUCCUCCUCUUAACCACCCAUCCUGUUCAGCAGUUCUCUGCCUGCCUUUCUCCGUCUUUUCUCUCCAUUUCUCUCCUCUUUAUUGGAAAUUGAUUGUCUUCUACCAUCACAAUGACACUUGGUUCUGAUUGAUUGGCAGGUAAGGGAAGAGGGAGAGAACAUUUUGUACUAGGGCUGAGAGAGCGCUGGGACUCUCCUGCACUCCGGAGCAAAAAUGGAUGCCUUACAUUAUAUACAUGAGCCUACUUCAGUAGCCUGAGUGCCAGUCUGUUUCUGCAUUAGCCAACACUUUUAUCUUAGCUUUGGUGAAUGCAAAAACAGUCAGGCAGCCAGGGCACUACUUCAGGACAGUGCUAGUUUGAGAGAUACACACAGGUGCCUUCAAUUCAACAACAUGAAACAAGCAGUGAAUACACAUGAAAUAAUACAGAGAAAAGACCAAAAGAUCCCCAUCAUCCCUCACUAGCACACAUCAGGACAGGGUUACAAACACAACAACAGACACAACAGACCAGGAAGAAAGACAGAGUCGGGGAGGAGGAGACAACACAUACAGUACAUACACACAACACAUACACAACCAGCACAAACAAAAUAACAUCUGAAAGGAAAGAAAGCAUCACAUGGCAUCACCCCUUUUCUUAACUUCUCUUUUCCAGCCCCAGUCGUUCUUUCCUUUUCUCGCCCUCUCCUUUACCCGGGAGUACAUUUCAUCCUGCAGUUUCUAUACAGCUAUAUAAUAUCCAUGCAUAUAAGAAUCGCUCGCGUCGCCCCUGACAACAGAGGUGCUCUGGUGGGUUGGUUCUCUGUUUAAUAUGGGGAUCACUUGAACACACACAGGAGGCAGUUGGCUAACAAAGCUGUAGUUUUUAAGAAAAUAAAUAUGAAAAGAAAAAAAGGAACACUAUUUGUCCACAAUGUGUUAUCGUUGGUUUUCAAAUUAACAUUUUUUUUUUUUUACUAUCCUGUAUUUUUUUCCAUUCUUUAGUCCUAUACCCUGAUGUUACCCUACAUACUGGAAGUUACCUAUACACCUCCACCCUAGAUUUCUUACAACCUACCACCCUUCCCCUCACACCAUUCUUUAUGCGCUAGAACACUUUCACCAUCCUUCCCCUAUGGCCUUAAACCCACCCUACCUCCCUUAUUCUUGACCCUACAACUCUUACACCCUACACUUCCCCUCUACCCAUAAUCCUAUCUUCUUACACCAUACCGCCCUCACAGCUUACCUCCUUUCCCCUCUGCCCUACAGCCCUACCACAUUACUUCACCGAUUCUUUCCACAACUCGUCAGCUUUUACCUUCUAUCUUUCCCACAUUCUUCUUUACCCAUCCCAUUACUUUUAGCUACAGUCAGUCUCCCUCAUCACAGGAUACAGAGGAAUAAAUCAAUAAAUCAACAAAACGUAUCAAACAGUAAAAAGGCUUCUAGUACAUAUUCUCCAUGAAUAAAAACAAUUAUUUUAGCAGUGACUCAUGACUCUCAUUGCUAAUAACGUUGUUAUUGUUUCACUACGUAACCUUUAUAUUAAAGAUUUGAGGUAUAUUGGGAUGAAAUGUCUACACAUGCCUGCCUAGUUGUCAAGCUAGCCGGGACAGGGGAUAGGUGAAGAGGGUUAGAGCCGGGACAGGGGAUAUGUGAAGAGGGUUAGAGCCGGGACAGGGGAUAGGUGAAGAGGGUUAGAGCCGGGACAGGGGAUAGGUGAAGAGGGUUAGAGCCGGGACAGGGGAUAUGUGAAGAGGGUUAGAGCCGGGACAGGGGAUAGGUGAAGAGGGUUAGAGCCGGGACAGGGGAAUGUGAAGAGGGUUAGAGCCGGGACAGGGGAUAUGUGAAGAGGGUUAGAGCCGGGACAGGGGAUAGGUGAAGAGGGUUAGAGUGGAGUGCGGUGGAACACUGUAUGUUUUUGGGGAUAGCUGAUUGGCCAUUGAUUUACCCCAAUGCUAGCCAGUUAAAGAGAGAUAUCUGAGGGUGUGGUUUUGAAUCACAGAAAGUGCAGACCCAUCACGUGGCACACUCACACUCCCGCUAUAAAUUACAUAAAAAUAUCUCUGGUAGGAGUGUGUGUGUGACAAAAUACAGACACACCUCAAUACCUGGGGCACAUUAACAUCCGACUGCAAGCACACAUACACACUUGCACGCACUGGCACUCACACACACACACACACAAACACGUGCACAAACACAGGCUCUCUGUUGAUCAAACCAACACCACCCAUGUCAAAUAUGUCAAAUGUGUCUCAUUCAAUGACCCAUGUGAUCAUUUGGUUAAGGUAAGAAUUAAUAAAUAAUAGGAGUAAUAAAAUGUACAAAACAAAGUGCUUUUUGAAUUCCAAUGGGAGUUGAUUCUAAGCUUGUGUAUACCGUUCCAUCCUGUAUGUGCCCCCUACACCUUGGCAUGCGUUUAAUGAGGUGUGUGUCUGUGCACAUUUGUACUUCUGUGCAUGUCUGUUUGUGCAUGUGUGUGUUCAGAGCAGUCCAACCCGUGGUUGAAGGAAAAAGGCACUCAACUCUGUCUGCAUAGCUACCACCUCCCUGUGGUCAAUAUACAGUGCAACUGCUCUGUGUGCGGGUUUAUGAUUUACAGUGUGUGUGUGUGUGUGUGUGUGUGUGUGUGUGUGUGUGUGUGUGUGUGUGUGUGUGUG
Molecule: long non-coding RNA, 3621 nt
Filed under: Salmo salar (Atlantic salmon)
Lineage: Eukaryota; Metazoa; Chordata; Actinopteri; Salmoniformes; Salmonidae
Description: lncRNA (ENSSSAG00000104562.1)
Source: RNAcentral